This 138-nucleotide small nucleolar RNA is filed under the name Ornithorhynchus anatinus (platypus). Lineage: Eukaryota; Metazoa; Chordata; Mammalia; Monotremata; Ornithorhynchidae. The record is from RNAcentral.
CCCCUCUCAGGGUCGCACCUGGAGAGUUUCCAGUACUCUGCCAGUCUCGGCUACAGGAGGGAGAGUCAAACAGCGGCCUGUCCAUUCCAUUCCUAGCUUGGCUAGUGGCUAGUGAGUGGAAGGCAAUCGGCUACAGGU